Molecule: long non-coding RNA, 390 nt
Organism: Mobula hypostoma (lesser devil ray)
Lineage: Eukaryota; Metazoa; Chordata; Chondrichthyes; Myliobatiformes; Myliobatidae
Exons: 3
Source: RefSeq, a predicted model, not a curated record
UUCAGGAAGUGGCGGGGUGGUGAGGGUGAGGGAAGUGGGUUAGUGUUCAUGGGUUCAAUGUCCAUUCAGAAAUCAGAUGGCAGAGGAGAAGAAGCUAUUCCUGAAUCAUUCCAAGGAGCGAUUUAGCCUGUCCUGCUCCAACCUCAGGAGGCUAAAGUAAUUUCAGAUGGGUGCACUUCAUGUGGGUGUAGUGCAAAUCUGACAGAGUGAUACUCAGAAAUCAGGACAUAGAAGAGGAGUUGCUAUUCUCAUCUCAAGCAAGCUGAAUUUUGAAAAAGUAUUCGAAAUGGGAGAUAAGGAGGGCAGACAUAUUCUGACCCUACCAACAGAGAUUAACCAAAAUCAAUUCAAUGAAUGGAACAAGAUGCUAACAAGAUAUAUAUGGCAAGG